This 119-nucleotide ribosomal RNA is filed under the name Oceanospirillum sediminis. Its description in RNAcentral is "partial 23S ribosomal RNA". The stretch from base 1 to 107 matches the Rfam family "Bacterial large subunit ribosomal RNA", at positions 2820 to 2925 of the family's 2925-position model. Lineage: Bacteria; Pseudomonadati; Pseudomonadota; Gammaproteobacteria; Oceanospirillales; Oceanospirillaceae. The record is from RNAcentral.
CGAGCUUCCUGAAGGGCCCUUGAAGACUACAAGGUUGAUAGGCAGGGUGUGUAAGCGCUGUGAGGCGUUGAGCUAACCUGUACUAAUGGCCCGUGAGGCUUGACCAUAUAACACCAGAA